Molecule: long non-coding RNA, 320 nt
Organism: Leopardus geoffroyi (Geoffroy's cat)
Lineage: Eukaryota; Metazoa; Chordata; Mammalia; Carnivora; Felidae
Exons: 2
Source: RefSeq, a predicted model, not a curated record
GGCCUUGGGGAUGUCAUGUUUCCGCGCAAAUUCCUUCGCCCGGCUUAGGUCGCGGGCUGCUACCGCCACCACCUGGAGGGGCGCUAGGGUCAGACUAGAGGGACUGGGGAAGGCGCAGGCGCGGCGCAGGUGGAUGGGAGAGAGGUGAUGGAGAAGGCCCCGGACCCAGGAGCCCCGGCUCCCCGGCCUGCUCUUCCACAGGAUUCCGGAGGGAGUGUGGACCUGGUGCUCGGAGCGUGGCAGCGUCCGCAGCGCCGUCGUGAAGUCGCUGGAGAUAAGGCCGACUGACACGAUGCCCCAGCGCAGCGCCAUCGCAAAAA